AAUAUUGGUCAAUGGAGGCAACUCUGAACCAGCCACGUCGCGUGAAGGAUGACGGCCCUACGGGGUGUAAACUUCUUUUAUACAGGAAUAAAGUGAGUCCCGUGUGACGUUUUGCCUGUACUGUACGAAUAAGGAUCGGCUAACUCCGUGCCAUCCGCCGCGGUAAUACGGAGGAUCCAAGCUGUAGCCGGAUUUAUGGGGUUUAAAGGGUGCGCAGGCGGAAGAUUAAGUCGGCGGUGAAAUUUUGCAGCUAAACUGUAAAAGUGCCAGCGAUACUGGUUUUCUUGAGUGUGGAUGAAGUAGGCGGAAUUUGUGGUGUAGCGGUGAAAUGCAUAGAUACCACGAGGAACUCCGAUUGCGCAGGCAGCUUACUAGGCCAUAACUGACGCUCAGGCACGAAGGCGUGGGGAUCAAACAGG
This 419-nucleotide ribosomal RNA is filed under the name uncultured bacterium. RNAcentral describes it as "partial 16S ribosomal RNA". It matches the Rfam family "Bacterial small subunit ribosomal RNA", at positions 360 to 776 of the family's 1533-position model. The record is from RNAcentral.